GGGAGGCAGCAGUCGGGAAUUUUGGACAAUGGGCGAAAGCCUGAUCCAGCAAUGCCGCGUGCAGGAUGAAGGCCUUCGGGUUGUAAACUGCUUUUGUACGGAACGAAAAAGCUUCUCCUAAUACGAGAGGCCCAUGACGGUACCGUAAGAAUAAGCACCGGCUAACUACGUGCCAGCAGCCGCGGUAAUACGUAGGGUGCGAGCGUUAAUCGGAAUUACUGGGCGUAAAGCGUGCGCAGGCGGUUAUGUAAGACAGAUGUGAAAUCCCCGGGCUCAACCUGGGAACUGCAUUUGUGACUGCAUGGCUAGAGUACGGUAGAGGGGGAUGGAAUUCCGCGUGUAGCAGUGAAAUGCGUAGAUAUGCGGAGGGACACCGAUGGCGAAGGCAAUCCCCUGGACCUGUACUGACGCUCAUGCACGAAAGCGUGGGGAGCAAACAGGAUUAGAUACCCUGGUAGUCCACGCCCUAAACGAUGUCAACUGGUUGUUGGGAAUUAGUUUUCUCAGUAACGAAGCUAACGCGUGAAGUUGACCGCCUGGGGAGUACGGCCGCAAGGUUGAAACUCAAAUGAAUUGACGG
RNAcentral lists this ribosomal RNA (580 nucleotides) under uncultured beta proteobacterium. Its description in RNAcentral is "bacterial SSU rRNA". It matches the Rfam family "Bacterial small subunit ribosomal RNA", at positions 343 to 916 of the family's 1533-position model. Lineage: Bacteria; Pseudomonadati; Pseudomonadota; Betaproteobacteria. The record is from RNAcentral.